GGGUUGUGAGGUUAAGCGACUAAGCGUACACGGUGGAUGCCCUGGCAGUCAGAGGCGAUGAAGGGCGUGCUAAUCUGCGAUAAGCGCCGGUAAGGUGAUAUGAACCGUUAUAACCGGCGAUACCCGAAUGGGGAAACCCAGUGUGAUUCGUCACACUAUCAUUAACUGAAUCCAUAGGUUAAUGAGGCGAACCGGGGGAACUGAAACAUCUAAGUACCCCGAGGAAAAGAAAUCAACCGAGAUUCCCCCAGUAGCGGCGAGCGAACGGGGAGGAGCCCAGAGCCUGAAUCAGCAUGUGUGUUAGUGGAAGCGUCUGGAAAGGCGCGCGAUACAGGGUGACAGCCCCGUACACAAAAGCGUAUGUGCUGUGAGCUCGAUGAGUAGGGCGGGACACGUGGUAUCCUGUCUGAAUAUGGGGGGACCAUCCUCCAAGGCUAAAUACUCCUG
RNAcentral lists this ribosomal RNA (447 nucleotides) under Salmonella enterica. RNAcentral's name for it is "partial 23S ribosomal RNA". It matches the Rfam family "Bacterial large subunit ribosomal RNA", at positions 1 to 478 of the family's 2925-position model. Lineage: Bacteria; Pseudomonadati; Pseudomonadota; Gammaproteobacteria; Enterobacterales; Enterobacteriaceae. The record is from RNAcentral.